UACUUUUGAGGUUAUCGUCAGUUGACGCAUGCGUACAGUAGCUGUAGUGUUUAUUUCCAGUACAUCCUUAUCUGUUUAUUGUAGCUACUGUUUUAUUUACCUGCAUCUAUACUUGUCAGCUCCCUACUUAUCAGCAUCUUGCUACUAUAGUUUAGCUGCAUGUAUACUUUCAGUUGUUCAUUACAGUAGCCGUAGUUGUGCUUUCAUUUAUAGUUCUAUCUUUUUCGUUCAUUAUUGUUGCUACUGUAUUUAGUAUUUCACUUACCCAUAUUGUUGUUUAUCUCUUCCUGAUCCGGUGAGUACUCCUCGCCUUCAUCGGCUUGCGGUACCCACUGGGAGGGGAGACAUGUUUACAUGUUCUCACCUCCCCCACCAUUUUUCAGAUAUUGCGGGCGGUAAGGUUGAGACGAGACGUGAGACACGUUCGUAAUGGUCGCUAGAGCUUCCGACCCAGUUUGUUGGUUUAGUUCCUACCCUGUUUACUUUUGUUAUUAAUAGCUUUAAUAUUUCAUGGUUCAGUUGGUUUAUAUUAUUCGAAUUCAUGUGAUUUUGAAUAAACUAUAGAACUCGUGGAUUUUGUGAAAAGGAAAAAUGGUUUUUCUACCCCUCGUGGUAGCGUGUUCGUAAAAAGAAAAGGUUUCCGUGUGGGAAGCAGCUUUCAAAAGAGUUUUCUCGUGGCUUUUAUGUUUAAACACUGAAUGAUAAAUAUCUGGUGAAUGGUGAAUGAAUGUUGAGUAUUGUAUAUUCAUGUAUUGUGGUUAUAUUCUGGUUAUACUCUGUUUGUACUU
Molecule: long non-coding RNA, 788 nt
Filed under: Ananas comosus (pineapple)
Lineage: Eukaryota; Viridiplantae; Streptophyta; Magnoliopsida; Poales; Bromeliaceae
Description: long non-coding RNA (ACOM_LNC026672)
Source: RNAcentral